AUGGGCAGUGCCUACACUGUGGGAGUGCCCGCGCUACCGUUCUUGCCUUGGCUGCACAUGCCUCCUCCGCCGCCUUUUCCGAUGGCGCUGUACUACAACCCAGCCCUCAAGCCGCCGCUGCCGGCGACACGCUGCAGCAUCACGGAGAUCGUAGAAGACGGCGACGUCGAGCCCCCGACGGCAGAGGUGGAAGACGGCCCCUCCCCUCGCUCGGUCCUCGCGGUCUGGAGGAGGAGCGCGGCGCUUCCGCCUCCGUCUUCCGGCGUCGCAGGCAGCAAACCAGCCUUCGACGGAAGAAGCAAGAAGACAUCCGUCAUGAUCUGCAACAUCCCCAAUAGCUUCUUGAAACGGAGGUUGAUGGCCAUCUUGGACCAGCAUUGCGCGGAGGAGAACAAGCUUCGAUGUCGCCCCCGAGGCGGCGGCGGCGCCGUCGCGAAGUCGGAGUACGACUUCCUAUACCUUCCAAUCGAUUUUAGAGGCUACGCGUUCGUCAACAUGACGACGCCGGCAGCCACACGGCGGCUCUACGCGUUCCUCCACGGCCACCGCUGGGCGGGCUCCGCCAAGGUCUGCGAGGUCGUGCACGCCCACAUCCAGGGAGUGGACGCGCUGGCGGCGCACUUCUCCCGCUCGCUAUUCCCAUGUGGCAACAACAAGGAGUUCCUGCCGGUGCGCUUCGGGCCUCCCAGGGACGGCCUCCGGCAGACGGCGGAGCGCACCAUCGGCUGUGCGGUGGUCCGUCGUCGCCUCCGCUGA
Molecule: ribosomal RNA, 756 nt
Filed under: Triticum aestivum (bread wheat)
Lineage: Eukaryota; Viridiplantae; Streptophyta; Magnoliopsida; Poales; Poaceae
Description: partial small subunit ribosomal RNA
Source: RNAcentral